Non-coding RNA from Caenorhabditis elegans, 212 nucleotides. The record is from Ensembl. NCBI's taxonomy places the organism in Eukaryota, Metazoa, Nematoda, Chromadorea, Rhabditida, Rhabditidae.
ACAUGUAAAACAGUAAAUAUGCAAAUAUAAAUCUAGCGACGAGCAAUGAAUCUGAAUGAAGGUCCCAGUGUUUUUGAAUGAGAAGGGAUAUAUUGAAUGGUCCAUUGAUCUGAUGGUCACCUGGCCUCCAUAUUGUUUGUUGGGAACAUGUGGAUAACUGUAGAGAAACUGCAACAUUAUGACAGACGGUUCACACCUUUUUCAGAAUUGAU